CUUCAUUUUGUGAUCUAAGCUAACCUUUUUAUUGCUACAGAUGCUUUAAAUGAUCCCGUGCAACACCUACUGCAUAUGUUUUGUGUCUUCUAUGUCUCACAUUAUAUGUGUUCUUUUAAAUUGUGGUAUAUAGUCUGGAUCAGAGAUCAUGGAGAAAGGUUUCUACCUGUGUUACUAAGGCUCUUGGAGACUGACCGUAUAAAAAAUGUUUUUAAGUCUCUGAGAGUUCUGAAAGAUUCGGGUGAAACCAUGUCUGUGUAAUCUGGUCCAGAUGUUUGCACAAUUUCUAUAAGAUUUAAGUUGAUACAGCAUCAUCUCAGAUUAGUUAAUGGAAGUUUCAUACAAAUAUUUGAGUUAUGAGCGCGCUAUAUAAAUGGAUCCUUUCUUUAUAUACAAUACUAUAGUAGAUGAAAGUAAUGAAGUUAAUUAAGAAAAAACAUGUAUACAUAAGAAUCCCUAAAAUAAAUCUAAUAUAAACUAAAAUUGGUAUACCUUACAAUAAUAUGUUCUGAAUACAGCUGUUAACUGUUUAUUCUGUGUAAAUGGUGACUGUGAUAAUGCGUGAAGUGUGCAGCUUUACUGCAAAGUGGUUUAAUUUAUAUGUUGCUGUAGAGGCUCUGUGUUGUGGUCUGAUAUAGCUAUAUGGGAAUGGAGAUUUGGAGGUGUUAGUUUAAGACUGCUUUCAUAUUGUGUCUACCCGUGUUUCCUAGGAGGGACACAGAGUGUGUAGUUGCGUGCAAUGAAUGUGUUUUCUGUAUUGGCAUAUCUGCUGGGUAUCCAUUAUGUGUUUCUACUACAUCUGUUUUGUGAGAUGUCUGUUUUAUGAGAUGACGUGUAAUAGUACAUUGGAUGCUGAGUAUGAGUUAUAUGGUUUGAAAUGAAUUGGUGUGUUAUGUGUUUUAUGUAUUGAAUUGUCCAUUGUGUAGGAGUUUAACUAGCAGAGUGAUUUGCAUAUCAUUAACACAAGUAUUUAGUGUUUUUACAAAAGGUGAAAUGCUGUCCAGCCGGCUAGAAUGAAACAAUUGUAUGCUAUCACUCCUGGAGCAAGAAAAGCGCUUGUUACAUCCCAUGUGAAAGGGGCCCCGCAAACUUCUGCUGUUCAAAUCGUGGGUCCACGUUUCCAUUUGCAAAUUGAUUAAUCCUGAAAGUCAUUCUUUUACUGAUAAAAAGGAUUGAAUGGACAAGAUGUCUCUCCCUCAUAAAGGAGUUCUACUAGGGGAGUAUUGUCCAGCUCAGAGUUAACUCUACUUUUAAAGUAUAUUGCAUUGUCUGUGUCAAAGUAAGAUUCAUCUAGUAUGCCUCAUUGAUUAUGGGGUAAUAAUAACAUGGUAUUUUUAAUAGAGAUUAGACAAUUUCUGAAAUUUAUAAGUGAGGUAAUUUUAAUCUCCUAAACUACUGUAUUAUAUUUGUAUGGGUAAAU
Molecule: long non-coding RNA, 1420 nt
Organism: Pelobates fuscus (common spadefoot toad)
Lineage: Eukaryota; Metazoa; Chordata; Amphibia; Anura; Pelobatidae
Exons: 3
Source: RefSeq, a predicted model, not a curated record